Long non-coding RNA from Xenopus laevis (African clawed frog), 1483 nucleotides. RefSeq lists it as uncharacterized. Lineage: Eukaryota; Metazoa; Chordata; Amphibia; Anura; Pipidae. The transcript has 4 exons. The record is from RefSeq and is a predicted model, not a curated record.
AAUAACAGAUAAAACAGAUAAACAAUAUAUAUAUAAGUUUAGGGUUUGUUUUUGUACAAUGGGAGAAUUGGUUGAGGGUGUGAAUACUUAUAUAAGUCAGUGAAUUAUGAUAUGUAUAGCAGAGAGGACUGGUGCAUGUGAGCUUACAAUCUCUUCUUUCUUUCGGUUUCCCCACACAGUGAAUUUUGCGAGCGACGAAGCGUUUUCACAGCGUUUUCGAAGCGAUUUUCAGAGUGAUUUUCCGAGUGAUUUCACAGCGAUUGUUUUAGAGAUAUUCAGUGAUAUUCCAUCUGAUUUUUGGCGUUUGGAAAAAACAUCUUCCUUUGACAUCAGCUGAUAUCUCUUUAUAACCCAACAGCUCUUUUAAGAGCUAAAAAACUUAGGCGCAAUGCUAUUCUGCGCCCCCUGGAGGAAGGUAAGUCAACUGCUACUGUUUGAGCUGAAUUUAGGGUUUUGCUGAUUAGAGAACAGGUACAGAUAAAGUAUAGAAUGUAAUAGACUCUUUCUCUUCUCCUUCGGCCACAGGCGGAAUCCAGAACCCUCUCCGAGACUUAUGAGGUGAGUAGAAAGGAGGGUAAAACACUCGCCGCUACUGCCGGAAGUGAGACGUGUUUUGUACCCUGGGGAAUAUUAUGUUAUCAAUAAAAUCCUUCUUUUUUCUAUUUUAUUUUCCAGCCUCCUGAUGGUCGGCUGACCAAGGAUGUGCUUGUUGGAGAGGGCGGCACUGGAGACGUCUACAAGGUAAGUUACCAACCAAUUCCUAGAGAGUAGGGGAACUGAACAAGAUUGUGAUCACUAGACACAAUCACACAAUGAUUUAGGCAGACAUAUCAAGCUUCUGGUUUGGGGGCUGCAUUAGACCCUCUCUUUCCUACUUGUAUAUAAGUCAACCUUUCUGUCUGUAUUACAGGGACGACACCAUCGUAGAGGCGUGGUAGCGGUGAAGAUCGCCAACAUCAGCCGAGAUGAAGAGUCAGUCUGCAGGGAGCUGAAGUUUCUCCAGCAGUUCGGAGGCCACAAGAACAUCGCCUCUUACUAUGGAGCCUACUACAGGGCUCCACUCACGGAGUGCUCAUCGGAGCUCUUGGAAGUAAGAAAUGAUUUACUGUAUCGUGUUCAUUCCUCUUGUGCCAAAACAAUCUCCACUGGAAGUGAUAGAAUACAUGACCUGAAAUAAUUUCUAUAUAUUGCAGAUUGUUCUUGAAUACUGUGGUGGAGGCUCUCUGUACAACCUCAUCAGUAAGACCAAUGGCCAAUCCCUGAAGGAGACCUGGAUUGGCUAUGUCUGCAAGGAGGUUUUAAAGGGGCUGCACCACAUCCACAAGAACCGGGCCGUUCAUAAAGACAUCAAGAGCCCGAACAUCAUGCUCACAGAGACGGCCAAAGUGAAGAUCAUCGACUUUGGACACAGCUGGGACCUGGACCCGCAAACUGGGUUGUGCCACGAAGCGGAAGGGACUCCACAUUGGAUGGCACCCGAGGC